RNAcentral lists this small RNA (113 nucleotides) under Caulobacter vibrioides NA1000. RNAcentral's name for it is "small non-coding RNA". The record is from RNAcentral. Lineage: Bacteria; Pseudomonadati; Pseudomonadota; Alphaproteobacteria; Caulobacterales; Caulobacteraceae.
GCUUUUUCGGGCGCGCCGGUGGGGUAGUUGGCGCGCUCGAGGGAGCGGUCGUCGACUCCUCCGCCGGGGUUCGGCGGUCUAGCCGGCGCGAUUCCCCUAUCGCGUCGGCCUCG